Cavia porcellus (domestic guinea pig) is the source of this 3157-nucleotide long non-coding RNA. RefSeq lists it as uncharacterized. The transcript has 2 exons. NCBI's taxonomy places the organism in Eukaryota, Metazoa, Chordata, Mammalia, Rodentia, Caviidae. The record is from RefSeq and is a predicted model, not a curated record.
CUCAGGGUGAUGGGGGAAGGGAGUGGGGUAGGGCUCUGGCAUCCAGAACAGCUGACCCCUAGAGGAAUACCCAGAUGCUGAUGCAUGAGGUCACAUCAGGGGGGAACCCCAGGGGUGCUGCAGGAGCCACAGUGAUGUCCUUAGAGAUCCUAUUCAUUCUCCUCUGGCUCUUGGCCAGUGCCCCCCACUGGUUACCCAUCCCUUCCAGCCACUGGGCUGGGAAAAGCAAUUGUUGGAGUCACACACACAGGAUUCGAAUCCCAGUUCUGAUGUGUGACCUUGGGGAGAGCUUACAUCUUGAACCUCAGCUACUCCCCUCUCGUUAGGAGCUGUUAAGAAAAUUCACUGAGAUAGCUGUGUACACAGCCAGUGUCACCAUGGGGGCUCACCAGCCCCACAAGUCCCUGCACCCUCUGUCCUCAGGGACCCCACUUCCAUCCCAUAGAAUCCUGGCAGAAAACCUCAGGGUGAAUGCCCAUCUGCCCAUGGUGCCUGCUGCUGUUAUUAUAAUUCUCAAAUACUUUUCCUGUGUUUUUAAUUAGAAAAUGUUGUAUAGGAGCCAAUCACCCAUCUUCCUAUUUCCUUUAAUCCACUCAACUGUAGAUUAAGCUCGAUUAUUAAAAACUUGCAGCCAAAAAUGAAAUUAAAUUAAAAAGCCAAAUGAUUCAAGAGUCUAUCCCUCAAGGGCCCUUCUCCUCUCCCUCCUUCCUGGAGCAUCAAUCAACAUUCAGAUACAAAAUGUCCCAGCCCUGGUAACUGCCCUGAGCAGUUUACAGAUUAGUGGGAGAGACAAACUCAGAAAAGUUCUUGCAAUGUCGUGGGGACUCCCACUUGACAGGGACUCCUAUGAGUAUAUGUGAUGGCAGUGGUGAUGAGGAGAGGAACCGGGAAUAUUUCCUAGCAGAGGUGACACCCAAGCUCAAAAUAUGAAUAGGAGAUGGGGGGGGUGAUGGACAGCAAUGACUUCCCACAGAGAGGGUAGCAUCGUCAGGGGACAUGUGCAGAGGUGAUCCAGUCUGUGUGGCAAAUAGCAAACUGUUUAGCAUACAGGUGAACAAGGUAAAGAGACUAGAAGACUGAGAAAAGCUCCCAAAACAUCAGGUCCUAACCUAGGAACCUGAAAACGUUAGUUUGUAUGGAAGCAGGGUCUUUGCUGAUGUGUAAAUUGGGAAGCUGGAGAUGGGGGAGUUAUCCUGGAUUAUCUGGGCGGGUCCUAACACAAUCCUGUGUGUCUGUAUAUAGAAUCAGCAUAGUUGGCUCAUACAAGGGAGAGAAGACUGUGUGAUCACAGAGGCAGUGACUGAGACAGGCAGCUGUAAGCCUAGCAUCUUUGGGGAACAGUAGAGGUGUCAAGACAGAAGUUCAGGAUGACAAAAAGGGCUGGUUACAGUAACAGGCAGACCCAACCAAGGCCUGGUGGGCAGGGAGAAGAGGAGAAAGGGUCCUGGAGAAAACAACUAUGGGCCUAACCUCAACAAGUUAAGAAAUUUUUUUCUUUAAAGUUAAAGACUGCUAAGCCUGAAGAAGAGCUUACCGGCGCUGGAUCUGCCUUGCAAAAUUAUUGCUAGAGGCUGAGCAGGGAAACUGGACUUCACUGUGCAGAGUAGCAUUGCGGAAUAGAUCGCAGAAGUUCUCAAAGAGCUCCAGAAGUUCAUCUGAUGUAUUUUCAAACACAGCGAUCACCUCAGUUGUCACCAUAUUGUACACCACAAAGAAAGAUGCCUGCAGAAGAAAAGCGAGUGCUAAGGAACAGCUAGGUGUAAAGAAAUGCCUAGGAAAUAGCACUUGGCUUAAAAUCCUCACCACCCAAAUAAAACAAGUGAGCACCUCUGCUCUAGAACCAAGGUGGACGCGUGACUCCUGAUGGCCAAGACAGGAAGCACCAGACGCCUUAUCAAUAGACAGCCUCAGUGUGGACAGAUUUCCCACUGCUUCUGUCCUGCUAGAAUUACAGAGUUGGGCAGCACAUUUGUAUAAAAAGAUUUCCAACUCCUCAAUUCAAACUGCGCAAAUUCGGUAUUUUUCAUUCCAAAUGUUUAUUCCUUACUUGCUUCCCAACCCAUUUUGAGAUUUAAAAAAAAACUUUUUUAAAAUGCCAGAUUUAAUUUUCUUUCCUGCUGAGAAAGUGAUUUGCAGCCUGGGGCUGCCUGUUGGCAAAUGAUUUUCUCUUGUAUGUGUACAGUUGAAAGUCCAAUUCAGGGGUAUUUAUUUUUCCCUCUUAAUAUUUCUAACAUGCAGAGAGACGUCUUAAGUACAUUGUGUCCUAAAACUGCUCAAGCAAGUUGUAUCCAUGCAGGGUACUGCUGCUGAACAAAUGAAAAAUCAGAGAGACAUUUUCCAUUUCUUCCUUCAAAAUGUUCUUUCAGCCCAGAGUAUUUGUAAAAUACAUUUGAGGUUUGGAGCAAUUAAGAUCAGAGGGGAACCUGAAAAGCAUUCAGAUGCCAUAGGUGGCAGAGUUACUACUUUUUCUGAAUGGGCCCUGGAGAGACAGCCCUCUUCCUUUAAACCUCCAAUGCUCUGCUUCUCCCACAGGAAGCCCCAGGAACCCCUAAUCUUUAUCACAGUGAAUGUAGCAGUGUGAAUUAUUCUGUAAGCUCUCAACAGGACUCUAGAAGUUUUCAGAAUACUGGGAUUAGUAUUUCACCCUGCUCUGAUUGAAUUUAAAUCUCCACUACCAAUUUCUGGAGCCUUUUGGCCCACCUGUUGUAUUAGUAAUUAGUCCUUCCCAGAGGUCCUAUUUCAUAGCUUUUGCAGUCACCUGGAAAUUAAAUUUGGCUUUAAAUUAAAAAGGCUAGAAAGCAACCUGAGAAUAAUGCCCAUAAUGUUACCAAGGCUUUGUGUUUAGAUGUACUUUUUACACACCGACCUUAUUGGAACUGAUCAAAUUAAACUGGGGGAGGAGAGACGAGGCCAACUGGGGCAGAGAGAUUGGGUGUAGAGUUACAAACUCUGCAACUAAAGGACACAGUCUUAGUAGUCCUUCUAACUACAUCUUAUUGUAGCUACCAGAAAAAAAGGUCACCUGUUGGCAAAGGACAAAAGGAUAAUCUCAAGUGCAGAGAUCACAGACAACUUAUUCCAUCUUAAAAAAAAGAAGGUAAUUGUAGCUCAACCUUAAAUAAAAAUUGACUUAUGUCCUCUCUAUAGUCCCAGACAG